This 67-nucleotide transfer RNA is filed under the name Anodontites trapesialis. RNAcentral's name for it is "tRNA-Glu". The record is from RNAcentral. Lineage: Eukaryota; Metazoa; Mollusca; Bivalvia; Unionida; Mycetopodidae.
AAUAUUAAUUCAGUGUAUAACCGCACAUUGGCUUUUCACGCCAAAAGGGCACAAAGUGCAAUUAAUA